Non-coding RNA from Paramuricea clavata, 459 nucleotides. The record is from the annotation of a GenBank genome assembly. NCBI's taxonomy places the organism in Eukaryota, Metazoa, Cnidaria, Anthozoa, Malacalcyonacea, Plexauridae.
AAUUUUUUUCUGUUUUCUCUAGAUGAAAAUCGUGGGUAUUGUAUUGCUCGUUGCGUGUUUUCUUCAUAUAAACAUUCCCGCCUCCAGCGCAAUGACUAGAUCGGAGGAAUGCGGGAAUAUUUGCCAUGGUCGUGCGCGGACGUGUAUUCAUAGUAUUCGUUGCAGUUCAGACACAUUAGCAUGUUUGCAGAGAAUGAAGGGAUGCAAGCAAUAUGCAAAAACGUGUUUUAACAAUUGCAUGAGGGGAAUAAGCGUAUAGAACCAUAUGGAACGCUUCACUAUUUUAAUGGAUUUUCCGCCAUUAACUCAUUAAAAUAUUUUAAAUAAAAAUUAUCUAUGUGAAAAUACAUUUAAUUUAUUUAUUUAUCACCGGUAAUUGAAGCCGUGAUUUGUGGGAUUUAUAUUGUGGAACUCAUAUAUCAUUCUAGUUAAAAAUAUUAUUGCCCAGCAAAUAAUUCG